This is a non-coding RNA of Vicugna pacos (alpaca), 5803 nucleotides long. NCBI's taxonomy places the organism in Eukaryota, Metazoa, Chordata, Mammalia, Artiodactyla, Camelidae. The record is from RefSeq and is a predicted model, not a curated record.
CCUAGCAAAACAGCUGUGACAGCAGUCAAGAAAACUUGAAUAGCCCACAUUUGAGAGAAGGACCCCUGCUCGGCCAUGGAGAACACCUCAAACACACAAUGUCAGAAAAGGGUGUUACUGAACUCAGGUCCAGCUGCUCACCACUCAGAAACCAAGACUUGGGAGAGACAAUUGUGAUAGAAAGGAAAGUUGCUUUUAACCAGAAUGCCGGCAGUCCGGGGCGACAGUGAACUCAGUGUCUGCAAAAACCAACUCCGAAGUUUCUGUUCAGCCAUGAAAGUUUUAAAGGGAAAAAGGGGAUAUUUUAAAGGGAAAAAUCUCAGUUAAUCACCGAGACAAGAGAUCAGAUUUGUCACCAUCCUCCCUUCCUUUAGGGGUCCUGUUAGACAGAUUACCUCACUAGUGCUGACUGAGUAAUUCCUGAUUGACUGGUUUAAGAUUCCAUUCCUGAGAGAGGCUGAAACUGUAAUUAAGUGAGGUAUUAAGUCUUGGUUUAAUGAUAUGGGACAUAGCAAAAGUGACUCCAUUUUGGGUGUUUUGUCUCUUUUUUAACACUACUGAUCAAUUUCUUCCAGUCCACAUUCUGUCUGCUAGUACACAUGGAACCCUUCAGUAGUUUGUCUGUGUGUGUGUGUGUGUGUGUGUGUGUAGUUUGCAGCUGUUUUGGGGUUGUUGGAAUCAGUAUAUAGUAGAUGGGGAAAGUAUUAAAGUUAUGCAAUUUGUAUACAGAAAUGAUAAUAUUUUCCGGGCUUCCAGGAAGAAAUACAUAGCUAUCCUUUUGAGGUUUAUUUUACGUUCAGAGAAAAUUUGAAACUAAUCAAAGUAAAUAGCCUGUGUCCACUUCCCAUCACAAACCACUAGACUGAAAUGGUAUGAAAAUAACAAGAUAUCAUUUACUCUUUCUUUUUGGGUACCAGGAACAUCUUACAGAGAAUUUGGGUAAAUUGUGCUCUUUCCAAAAAAAUAAAAACAAAAAAAAACCAUGAAAAAAUUGAUUGAUAAGUUAAAAUUUAUUGAUAACCUAUUCUGAGCUAGGAGUUACAAAGUAUUCAAAAUAAGUCAUAGAUCCUGCCCUCAGUGGACUUAACCAUCAUUGAGAAGAUACACAGAAACAUCAAAGUGUGAGUCCCAACAUGAAGCAUUUGCUAAGUACUAAAGAAGUGGUGUAGACCAGAGUUUGGCAAUUUUUUUCUGUAAAGAACAGAUAGUAAUUAUAUUAGGCGUGCAUUUCAUAUGGUCAUUGGGCUUGCUCCACUACUCAGGUCUGCCCUUGCAGAGAGAAAGCAGCUCCAGACAGCACAUAAAUGAAUGGGCGGGAUUGUGUUCCAAUAAAACCGUAUUUACGAAAAUAGAUGGCAGGCUGAAUUUGGAAGGAGGACCAUGGUUUGUUGAGCUCUGGUUUAGACAGUAAGUAGUGUGCAUAUUUAGAGAAUUGAGAGAGUUUAACAGUGGGUAGAAAGGGAAGUCUUCGUGCAGUAGGAGGAGAUUGAAGACUAAGCAGGAAUUAGGUAGAGAGGUGAUCUUCUGGGUGGGAACACACUGUGAAUGAAAGCUAUAAUUGCAAGGCUUUGUGAGCGAAUGGGUGGGAGUAAAAUUAGAAAAAAUGGGCUUCUCCGUGAAAGCACCCCAAGAGGGAAGGACAUUUGCACUUCUGACAAGCACUUGCUGAGAGAUUAAAUACACAAUUUAGGUCCUGAGAUGCAUAUUCCUAAAGCCUUGGGGCCCAGUUCAGUUCCUUUUGCCCUUCCACCACGCUGCUUUUCUAGCCUAUCUCUUUCUGCAGGAUUGGCAUUUCCAGCCCCAGGGCACAGAGAUGUCAGCCUACAGGAAGAAUGAAAUUUGCUGUUGAGUACUGGGGGGAGUCACUUUGUGAUGAUUUCUCUGUAUGGUCAAGAGCAGCACACCAAUCAAGUGACGGAGGUACUUCUGAAUGUCUGUGUCUCUGGUGACAAGAGCUCUCAGUUUAAGCAAACCCUUAUGUCAAAGGGUGGCAUUUCUUAAAAUGUAUUAAUCAGAAGACUAGUCUGGCCAGAUGAUUCCAGAAAAAGGGGGUUCUAUAGUAUAAACGAUGCUUUCUUUUGGAGGUUGACCAGGUACGUUGGUAAAUUAAAGGGCAUGAGAAAAUCUGUUGCAAAGAAAUCUGUUUAACUCGUAUAACCAUAAAUUUCCCAAACACUUGACCACAGAACCGUUUCCCAUGGAGCAUCUGUGACCAUCUCGUGGCACCUGUUUCGAAAAACAAUGCUUUAAGGGAACUGAUGUGAAUAUAAAUAUUGCUAACAGGUACUAGUUGUGGCUUCAAGUUAACAUGAAAGACAAAGUAGGGGAGAGAGAAUAUAAAAUAAUUCAGAUAACUCAAGCAUGGAUUGGAAUACAACCUUCUUAUUUGUUGCAUCCAUUUGAAUUCUGUUUGCCCCAACCUACCCCCAGCGUUCUAGUUUCAGGUGAACAGGAGUACUAGAGUGCUGAGAUAGGAAAGCAAAAAAUGGGGAGCAGGACAUUUAAAUUUAUUUUCUUCUUCUUUUUUCUUGUUGUUGAUGUUAAACUUCUGGCUUUGUCCCCUUCUUCCAAGUCCUUCUGGAGACUUUGACUGAAAGCAUGAAAAUGAUUGUCAUCUGGAGCUAUUCACGGCAGGCAGAACUGAGCUUAGAGGGAAAACAAAUGUAUAAUUAGCAAGCACGUAAACAUCCCCAUCCAAGCCCAACUCUCCUUCUCUGUAGGGCAGACGAAGAGAUGUGCAGAGGAGCGAGGCAACCCAGAGUCUCACUGAAGUAUCUGGAGGAUUCAACUGGGAAAUUCUGUGCAAUUUGCUGCAAACAAGUCAGACAUUAUAAUCUAAUUAAGUCUAACCCUAUGUUGAAGAGGCUCUACUUAGCAUUUCAUAGCAUUUCCUUUUCCUUCUCUAUUUUCAUUUCUUUUAUGUGCUUCUGAAACAUCCUUCUUAAUUUUUAUGCACUGUCCUGCUGUCUGGUUUUGUCAGCUCCUUCACUUGGCACGUAAGGAUCUACUGUGUAACAAGUAUCAGCGAGUCAAUGAAGACUUCGACAUGAUCCUCACUGUUGAGAGGCUGAUAUUCAAUAUGGCCAGAGAGACACAGAGAUCAGUGAUGACUUCCACUGGGCUCAUCAAACUUGAAACCCUGAAGUCAGCUUCCACUCCUUUCCUGUCCUCACCCUCACAAGAGCGGUCAGCAAGUCCUGAAGAUUCUCUCCGUGCCCUCGCCGUUGCCUUAUUUCAGGCUUGUACCAUCUCUCAGCUGAUGACUGCGACAGCCGCCUACCUAGAUCCCCUGACACACCAGUUACCUUCAAUGCCAGUUACCUUCAAACAGGAAGAACUUAGCUGAUCUCACUGAGAGUUCUCAGCUGAUUUGCUUCUGCCUACGGGAGCUGGCCUAAUUUCAUUUACAGAGACUUCUGCCUUAUGAGGCUGUGAAUUUGUUGAAGGCGAGGGCUCUGCCUUGCUCAUUUUUUUUUUCUUACUGAAGCACAGUCAGUUACAACGUGUCAAUUUCUGGUGUACAGCAUAAUAUUUCAGUCAUGUAUACCUACAUGUAUUCGUUUCCAUAUUUUUUUUUAUCCUGUUCAUUUUUUUUUGUCUCAGUGUUUUAUGAAGUUCUUUGCAAGCAACUUGUGCUAUGUGUAGCUGAACGUUGACAGGGCACUAGUGAGGUGCUAAGAGCACAUGUUUUAGACUCAGAUCUAGGUUUAACUUCUGCUUCCUCUGCUACUUUGUUACUAAGUGACCCUGGGCAGAUGAACUUUAAGACAGUGAUUCUCAACUCUAGCAUCUCAUUAGAGUUACGCAAGGGAUUUAUUAAAAGGGCCCAGACCCACUCUUCACCCCAAUUAAAUUAGAAUAAAUGGAGGGUGAGGCUCAUGCACUAGAAAUUUUAAUAGACCCACAGGUGGUUUAAUAGAUCCACAGGUUAAUAUGCAGCUAGGGUUGUGAAUCACUGCCCUUGGCUUUCAUUUCUCAUCCACUAUAUGGGAUCUACUUUAAAGAGGUUGUGAGCAUGUGAAAUGAAAGGAAUUUAGCAUAAUGUCUGGCAUCUAGUAAGUCAUGAAGUUAAUACAAAACCUCAAUUUGUAAACUUCCUCUUCUCAAUUGCUAGCCACUGGGUGCUUUGCCUUCCUUUCAAUGCCUGGAACAUAUCAAACUUUUUUGCUUGUAAUGCCUUUGUAUUUGCAAUUCACCCUGCUCUUAGCAGAUCCCUCUUUAUCUUCAAGUCACACCUGAAGUCAUGCAUGGUCUCCAGGGAUUCUCCUUUAGUCUACAUCACAGUACGCAGAUGUUCAUCAUCUUCGUAGCACUUGUCUCAAUUUGAAAUUAGGUAUUAAUUUAACUCAGUACUGUCUGUUUCCCCAACUAUACUGCAAGCUUCACAAAGGCAGGGACCUCGUCUGUUUUGCUUUCCUCCUGAGGUCUGGCACCAAGUCCCUGGGAUGUGCCAGAUGUUCAGGAGAUAGUUGUUGAGGGAUGAAUGGAUUAAUAAUUGAUCCAUCCCAUGAUCUCAAAAAGGCAAAAAUCCUUGACUUUUUCUAUCCCACGACUCUAUGCAUUCCCACAUUAAAACACCACAACCAAAACCCAAACUAGUCCUAGAAAUGACAGCCUCUAGUGUUUUGGGUUCUAGCUAUUGACUAGAAAAACCGCAAUCCUUUUUUUGGGGGGGAUGUUUUUAAUUUGGGUAAGGCUUCCAAGUCCAAGGUUCUUAGAGGCUUAUUCAUCAACCCUUGGGCAAUAAUUAAUGUUAGUCUAACAAUAUCUUGCUUCAACUUUUGUGGCAAAUAAACUUUUGUGGCAAAUAAACUUUUGUGGGUGUUUGUGUUAGCUAAAUAAAGAGGUUUUUGUUUUCAAGUUUACCUUUUGUUCCAUCCAGUUGGGAAACCAAACAACAUGUAAGGUUAAUAGACGAAAUUUUUCUCUCAAGUCACAGAAUUAUCAAAUUAUUGAUACUUUGGCCUAUGAAAAGGACCUCAGAAAUAAACUAGACCAAUCCCCCAUUUUACAAAUGACAAAAAAGCCUAGAAAUAUGAAUUUAUUGGACAUGUUUAUGCACUUGCUGUCACAGUAUCAGGUUUCAAGAAUCCUUGAUCAGUGUCCUGUCAGCCAUGUUACACCAACUUCAAAUUAACCCAAAGUUAUUCUGAUUUUUCAGAGUUCAUAAUUUAUAUUCUGGCAUAAAGUAAUUUGAGAUUUUGGUAUUUCUGUAAUAAAAAGUACCUAUUCCAAAUUCAUGAGCAUGACAUUAAUAUCUAAUGUCUCAAAUAUCUGUCCACACUCCAGGCUCUACCAUCUAUUUCAUAUUUUUCCAACUCUGAGCUCUUCAAACUUUAUUGGAAGAAGACAGUGGUUCUCUGUAUUUCUCCUAAGGAAUUUGUAUUUUGCCUUAUGCUGCAGUAGGGAAUGACUGUAUUGGAUGUAAGAACCUUAGGAGCUGGUGUCACCUGGUCCCUGCUUUUUAGGUCUUGUCUCUCCUUGCAAUCAAUAAAUAUUUAAACCAAAACAAAGAUCUUUCCAGAUUAGAAAUUUUCCAUAAGGAUUUUCUUGGUGGCAAUUUUUAAGUGUUUGAAAAAGCUAGGUAGAGAACGCAUGGCUUGGGUGAACAGGACUUAUGUUGCUUUAACGUGAGCAUGACGUCAGGACAUUCUGCAAAAAUUGUCUCUUUUCUGGAUGCUUUCCUCCUUUUUAAAGUUCCUCAUCCAUUCAGUACAAUACACCCACAGCUUUUUUCUUCUAACUGUAGUGAAAAAACCUAUAGGAGGCAGAUUUAAGAGCUAUAAAAAACACCAGAGAAGAC